RNAcentral lists this ribosomal RNA (87 nucleotides) under Methanobrevibacter gottschalkii DSM 11977. RNAcentral describes it as "partial 16S ribosomal RNA". It matches the Rfam family "Archaeal small subunit ribosomal RNA", at positions 1 to 89 of the family's 1478-position model. Lineage: Archaea; Methanobacteriati; Methanobacteriota; Methanobacteria; Methanobacteriales; Methanobacteriaceae. The record is from RNAcentral.
AUUCUGUUUGAUCCUGGCAGAUGCUACUGCUAUUGGGAUUCGAUUAAGCCAUGCAAGUCGAACGAGUUUAGGCUCGUGGCGUACGGC